UAGUUUGCUACUAUCGUGUGUGAAUUUGUAUUGCUUUAAAAAUAUCAAUUCAAGCUAAUAAUAUAUGACCUGAAUAACAAUUUUUUCAAUUUUCAAUUUGAUUGAAUGAAAAAAAUUAAUUCGCCAUGAUAAAAAAUGCUUUUCAGUAACUUCGCAUUCAUUAAUUACCCCACAGUCAACCCCUAAAUUAUUAUUUUUUUGACUAUUGAGUUGCUAAAGGCACCAGCCAUACAUUGCUAUAUGACAUGUAUCAACGACAUCAGUUACAUCCUUAUACGAUUCAGGUGCUUCCUCCAUAACGAGCUUGGGAGAUGCGACCCGUAUAGCAAUUCCCAUUU
Ceratitis capitata (Mediterranean fruit fly) is the source of this 338-nucleotide long non-coding RNA. RefSeq lists it as uncharacterized. Lineage: Eukaryota; Metazoa; Arthropoda; Insecta; Diptera; Tephritidae. The transcript has 2 exons. The record is from RefSeq and is a predicted model, not a curated record.